RNAcentral lists this ribosomal RNA (515 nucleotides) under uncultured Acaulospora. RNAcentral describes it as "SSU rRNA". It matches the Rfam family "Eukaryotic small subunit ribosomal RNA", at positions 569 to 1086 of the family's 1831-position model. The record is from RNAcentral. Lineage: Eukaryota; Fungi; Glomeromycota; Glomeromycetes; Diversisporales; Acaulosporaceae.
AGCAGCCGCGGUAAUUCCAGCUCCAAUAGCGUAUAUUAAAGUUGUCGCAGUUAAAAAGCUCGUAGUUGAAUUUCGGAAUUUGUCGGUUGGUCGGGCUUCACUGUCCGCACUGGCCUGAUGGAUUCCUACCUUCUGAACAACCAGCAUGCUAUUAAGUUAGUGCGUUGGGGAAGCAGAGCUAUUACCUUGAAAAAUUAGAGUGCUUAAAGCAGGCUUGUGCUUGAAUAGACUAGCAUGGAAUAAUAAAAUAGGACGGCAUGGUUCUAUUUUGUUGGUUUCUAGGAUCACCGUAAUGAUUAAUAAGGAUAGUUGGGGGCAUUAGUAUUCAAUUGUCAGAGGUGAAAUUCUUGGAUUUAUUGAAGACUAACUUCUGCGAAAGCAUUUGCCAAGGAUGUUUUCAUUAAUCAAGAACGAAAGUUAGGGGAUCGAAGACGAUCAGAUACCGUCGUAGUCUUAACCAUAAACUAUGCCGACUAGGGAUCGGACGAUGUUAAUUUUAAUGACUCGUUCGGUCG